RNAcentral lists this transfer RNA (72 nucleotides) under Thermoplasmata archaeon. RNAcentral's name for it is "tRNA-Gly". It matches the Rfam family "tRNA". From Rfam's summary of the family: Transfer RNA (tRNA) molecules are approximately 80 nucleotides in length. Lineage: Archaea; Methanobacteriati; Thermoplasmatota; Thermoplasmata. The record is from RNAcentral.
GCAGGUGAGGUGUCAACGGCUGCACGCCAGGUUCCCAACCUGGAAGACAGGGUUCGACUCCCUGUACCUGCA